This 103-nucleotide signal recognition particle RNA is filed under the name Amycolatopsis rubida. RNAcentral describes it as "Bacterial small signal recognition particle RNA". It matches the Rfam family "Bacterial small signal recognition particle RNA". Rfam says of the family: The signal recognition particle (SRP) is a universally conserved ribonucleoprotein involved in the co-translational targeting of proteins to membranes. Archaeal SRP consists of a 7S RNA and homologues of the eukaryotic SRP19 and SRP54 proteins. In most bacteria, the SRP consists of a 4.5S RNA and the Ffh protein (a homologue of the eukaryotic SRP54 protein). The record is from RNAcentral. Lineage: Bacteria; Bacillati; Actinomycetota; Actinomycetes; Pseudonocardiales; Pseudonocardiaceae.
UCUGCGGGGACCCCCCGUGGCGUCCACCCUGUGAACUUCCCCAGGGCCGGAAGGCAGCAAGGAUAAGCGGGCUCUGGCGGGUACGGGGGGAACCCGCUUUUUU